RNAcentral lists this long non-coding RNA (204 nucleotides) under Daucus carota (carrot). Its description in RNAcentral is "long non-coding RNA (DCAR_LNC002100)". Lineage: Eukaryota; Viridiplantae; Streptophyta; Magnoliopsida; Apiales; Apiaceae. The record is from RNAcentral.
UGUAUGUCAAGCACUUACCUCGAGAAUGGAAUUUCUUCUUUAAUUCCAUCUCUCAUGUAUUUGCACCAAAGACUGGAGGGUUCCAUGGAAUUACUAUCUUCAAUCAAGAAAUUGGAAUUGCAAUAGCUCAGAACACAAGAAUCAAUCUGGGGCAUCUGAUAAUGGGAGCUUUUCAGGACUCUCUAAGAAAGAACAGAAAUGUAC